Molecule: long non-coding RNA, 699 nt
Filed under: Brassica napus (rape)
Lineage: Eukaryota; Viridiplantae; Streptophyta; Magnoliopsida; Brassicales; Brassicaceae
Description: long non-coding RNA (BNAP_LNC012721)
Source: RNAcentral
UUGUCAAACCCUAGAUCUUCUUCUCACUUACACUGAGACUGAGAGUAGCUUCCAGAGAAAACAAUGGCGAUGCCGAUGGAUAUCGUUAACGAUGUAUUCUUUGAGAUUUUAGGAUUGCAAAUGGUAAAUUGUAUCAAUUUUCUUAAACCAUCUUGUGUUACACUCUCAGGAGGGAUGAUUUUCUGUCCAAGGGAUUCAAACUCAAGUUAUAAGAAAAGCAGGGGAACUUCAAUGCCCAACACUUUAUAAAGGUAACUGAUGAGUGUUUGUAUUCUUCUUUCUCUUAGUUUGAGAUCUCCAUUCUUAACCUGCGUACAUUAUUGGAUAUCUUAGUAAGUGGAACUUGAGUCAACAUCAUUAGGGUAAUGGUUACGAUUCACAAUAUAUGAAAAAAAUCUCACUAUUUCAAGUGGUUUGGAGUUUGAAACGUGUAUGUGCAUUCACAAUAUAUGAAAAAUCUGUCUGUUUCAAGUGUUUUGGAGUUUGAAACGUGUAUGUGCAAAUCUUGACUUUUUGUUUGAAUUUCAGGUGCAGGGGCGUAAUCGGGAGAAGAAAAACUUUUAUCAAAUCCUAAUCCUAUAUUAGAUCUUAGUAUUUAACCUAUGUAGAAGGUAUAUUCACUAAGAAAAGACUGUGUGCUACGCUGUAGUUGGUUGAAUUUAUAAAAUCCAAGAAUCUAGUAAAAUUAAAAUCUGGCUG